GACGAACGCUGGCGGCGUGCUUAACACAUGCAAGUCGAACGGUGAAGCUCCAGCUUGCUGGCGUGGAUCAGUGGCGAACGGGUGAGUAACACGUGAGCAACCUGCCCCUGACUCUGGAAUAAGCGCUGGAAACGGCGUCUAAUACUGGAUACGAGAAGGGUCCGCAUGGGCACUUUCUGGAAAGUUUUUCGGUUGGGGAUGGGCUCGCGGCCUAUCAGCUUGUUGGUGAGGUAAUGGCUCACCAAGGCGACGACGGGUAGCCGGCCUGAGAGGGCGACCGGCCACAGUGGAAGUGAGAAAGGGUCCAGAAUACUACGGGAGGCAGGAGUAGGGACUCCUGCGCAAGGGGCGGAAGCCUGACGGAGCAACGGCGCGUGAGUCAUGAAGGUCUUCGGAGCGUAAAACGCUGUUAUUAGGGAAGAACAAAUGUGUAAGUAACUAUGCACGUCUUGACGGUAACUAAUCAGAAAGACACGGCUAACUACGUG
This 488-nucleotide ribosomal RNA is filed under the name uncultured bacterium. Its description in RNAcentral is "partial 16S ribosomal RNA". It matches the Rfam family "Bacterial small subunit ribosomal RNA", at positions 28 to 507 of the family's 1533-position model. The record is from RNAcentral.